RNAcentral lists this ribosomal RNA (115 nucleotides) under Deefgea sp. CFH1-16. The record is from RNAcentral. Lineage: Bacteria; Pseudomonadati; Pseudomonadota; Betaproteobacteria; Neisseriales; Chitinibacteraceae.
UCUGGCGACCAUAGCGAGGUGGUCCCCACUCCUUCCCAUCCCGAACAGGACAGUGAAACACCUCAGCGCCGAUGAUAGUGCGGAUUGCCCGUGUGAAAGUAGGUCAUUGCCAGAC